CCUACGGGAGGCAGCAGUGGGGAAUUUUGGACAAUGGGCGCAAGCCUGAUCCAGCCAUGCCGCGUGUGGGAAGAAGGCCUUCGGGUUGUAAACCACUUUUGUCAGGGAAGAAACGGCUUUUUCUAAUACAGAGAGCUAAUGACGGUACCUGAAGAAUAAGCACCGGCUAACUACGUGCCAGCAGCCGCGGUAAUACGUAGGGUGCAAGCGUUAAUCGGAAUUACUGGGCGUAAAGCGUGCGCAGGCGGCUUUGCAAGACAGAUGUGAAAUCCCCGGGCUCAACCUGGGAACUGCAUUUGUGACUGCAUGGCUAGAGUACGGUAGAGGGGGAUGGAAUUCCGCGUGUAGCAGUGAAAUGCGUAGAUAUGCGGAGGAACACCGAUGGCGAAGGCAAUCCCCUGGACCUGUACUGACGCUCAUGCACGAAAGCGUGGGGAGCAAACAGGAUUAGAUACCCUGGUAGUCCACGCCCUAAACGAUGUCAACUGGUUGUUGGACGGCCUGCUGUUCUAGUAACGAAGACUACGCGUGAGUAGACCGCCGUCGGGAGGUACGGCCGCGAGGUAGAACGUACGAACGGAAGUUAGUACGGCGUAGAGACGUUAGCCGACGGACGACGACGAGGGAGGAGG
RNAcentral lists this ribosomal RNA (632 nucleotides) under uncultured bacterium. RNAcentral's name for it is "bacterial SSU rRNA". The stretch from base 1 to 542 matches the Rfam family "Bacterial small subunit ribosomal RNA", at positions 338 to 873 of the family's 1533-position model. The record is from RNAcentral.